RNAcentral lists this long non-coding RNA (206 nucleotides) under Linum usitatissimum (flax). RNAcentral describes it as "long non-coding RNA (LUSI_LNC000074)". The record is from RNAcentral. Lineage: Eukaryota; Viridiplantae; Streptophyta; Magnoliopsida; Malpighiales; Linaceae.
AGUUCCUACUAUGCUCAUGCUUGAUGCAAAAUUUAGUCAGUCCACAUUCGUUUCUCUUUGCGUCCAAAGGCCACAACUCCUAGUAGCAUUGGAUUUUCUUCUGGCUGUUGCUGAGUUUUUUGUUCCAGCGGUUGGAGGUACUCUUUCGAAUGAUAACUCGAUGAUAGUGGAUGAGACAAUUAUACUAGACAAGGCGGUGUACAAAC